Molecule: ribosomal RNA, 1573 nt
Filed under: Balanophora reflexa
Lineage: Eukaryota; Viridiplantae; Streptophyta; Magnoliopsida; Santalales; Balanophoraceae
Description: 16S ribosomal RNA
Rfam family: Bacterial small subunit ribosomal RNA
Source: RNAcentral
GAGUUUAAUCCUAGCUCAGAAUUAACGCUUGUGAUAUGCUUAACACAUGCAAGUUUAAUUUUUUUAUUUUUAAAUAAUAAUAAAAAAAUAGCGUACGGGUGAGUAAUAUAUAAGAAUUUACUUUUAUAAAUUUUAAAAAAUUAAAAUAUAAUAUUGAAAAUUAAAAUAAAUAAAAAUAAAUUUGUAUAAAAAUAAGCUUAUAUUUGAUUAGUUAGUUGGUAAAAUAAAAGUUUACCAAGACAAUUAUCAAUAGUUGAUCUUAUCGGAUAAUCAACCACACUGAGAUUGAGAUACAGCUCAGAUUUAUUUUUUUAAAAAAAAAAGCAGCAGUGGGGAAUUUUUCGCAAUAAGCAAAAGAGCUUGACGAAUCAAUAUCAUGUGAAGGAAAAAAGGCUUUUUUAGUCAUAAACUUCUUUUUUAAAAAAAAAAAAAAAUGAUUAUUAUUUUAAGAAUAAGCAUCGGCUAAUUCUGUGCCAGCAGCCGCGGUAAUACAGGAGAUGCUAGUGUUAUUCAAAAUUAUUGGGCAUAAAAUGUCUUUAGAUUAUUUUUUUAAUUUAUUAUAAAAUUUUAAGAUUUAAUCUUAAUAUAAUUAAUAAUAAUUAAUUUAUUAGAGUAAUAAAAAAAGGGUAGAAGGAAUUUUUAGUGUAACAGUUAAAUGUAUUGAUAUUAAAAAGAACACCAAAAGCAAAAGCAUUCUACUAAAUAAUAUAAAUAAUUUUAUAUUUUAAAAUUUAACUGACAUUUAUAGACGAAAGCUAAAGUAGCAAACGGGAUUAGAUACCCCAUUAGUUUUAGCUGUAAAUUAUAAAUAUUAAAAAAAUAAUAUAUUAUAUUAUUUUUUAUAGUAAAUACGUUAAAUAUUUUGCCUGAAAAUUAUAUUUGCAAAAAUUAAAUUCAAAGGAAUUGACGGGAACUUACAAAAGUAAUGGAGCAUGUGGUUUAAUUCGAUGCAAAACGAAAAAUCUUACCAAAUUUUUAUAUAAAAAAAUUAUUUUAUAAAUAUUUUAUUUUAUAAAUUAAAUUUAAAAUAUAUUAGGUAGUGCAUGGCUGUCAAAAGUUCGUGUCGUAAGAUGUUGAAAAAAAAUAUUAAAAUUAUUUCAUAACGAACAAAACUCUUAUAUAUUAUUACUAUAAAAAUUUAUAAUAAACAAAUAUAUUAAUUUAAUAAUUAUAAAUUUAUAGAACUUUAUAUAUUAUAUAUUUUUUAAUUAAAAAAAAUAUAAAGAAUUAUGUCAAGUCAUUAUGCUCUUUUAUAAUUUGGGCUACACACAUGCUACAAUGGAUAAAUAACAAAAAAAUUAAUAUUAAUAUAUAUUAUAAUAAAAUUAUCUAAAAUUCGAAUUAUAAACUGUAACUCGUUUAUAUGAAGUUGGAAUUACUAGUAAUCACAGGUAAGAUAUACUGUGGUGAAUAUAUAAUUAUAAGUUUUGUACAUACCGCCCGUCACAUUUUAAAAAUUAAAUUUUUAUUAAAAAAAAUUAAUUUUUAAAAUUUUUUUAAUAAAAAUUUAAUAAUUGAAAUGAAGUCGUAACAAGGUAGUUGUACUGGAAAGUGUAACUAGAAUACCUCCAUA